RNAcentral lists this small nucleolar RNA (128 nucleotides) under Fulmarus glacialis (Northern fulmar). The record is from RNAcentral. Lineage: Eukaryota; Metazoa; Chordata; Aves; Procellariiformes; Procellariidae.
CUUCGGUGAUGAUAAGAUGACGAGUCAGAAGCGGGUGGCUCUUGUUGCGGUACCUCUGCAGUGUCAUGUUCUGUGAUGCUGCGUGUGGUUCUUUCACUGAAUGAUUUAGAGGCAUUUGUCUGAGAAGG